GUGUUGUUUCACAUCUCCAAUCGGGAGGUUUGGGUUGCGUGAUCCUACAACUUCAAACAGUGCUUCAGACUUAGAGAGGCGUUCCUGUGACAGGUAAAGAGAGCCUUUGAAGACACAAACACUCUUAUGGUGAUGGUGUAGAGGACUGGAAAUUUGAUAAAGGUGGAAAGUCAGGGAGAAUGGUUGAAAAUGAUGUUUUUGCACUGCUUUGAAAGAAAUCAUCAUCAUUGGUCUUGGAAACAUCAGAGAAGUUUCUUGAAAAGAAAUUUAACUCAACGCUUGGACAGAAUGGUGCGGGCCUUGUUUUAAGGGUAUCAAGUACCUUCUUU
Long non-coding RNA from Stylophora pistillata, 329 nucleotides. NCBI's taxonomy places the organism in Eukaryota, Metazoa, Cnidaria, Anthozoa, Scleractinia, Pocilloporidae. The record is from RefSeq and is a predicted model, not a curated record.